This 1755-nucleotide long non-coding RNA is filed under the name Salmo salar (Atlantic salmon). RNAcentral describes it as "lncRNA (ENSSSAG00000091483.1)". The record is from RNAcentral. Lineage: Eukaryota; Metazoa; Chordata; Actinopteri; Salmoniformes; Salmonidae.
CAGAAACUGAUUUAACAGGCAGAUAGAACUGGGAUAGAAGCUGUUCUAGAACCUGUGGUCCAGAAACUGAUUUAACAGGCAGAUAGAACUGGGAUAGAAGCUGUUCUAGAACCUGUGGUCCAGAAACUGAUUUAACAGACAGAUAGAACUGGGAUAGAAGGUGUUCUAGAACCUGUGGUCCAGAAACUGAUUUAACAGGCAGAUAGAACUGGGAUAGAAGCUGUUCUAGAACCUGUGGUCCAGAAACUGAUUUAACAUGUGUGAGUGUCCAGUGUGUGUGUGUGUGUGUGUGUGUGUGUGUGUGUGUGUGUGUGUGUGUGUGUGUGUGUGUGUGUGUGUGUGUUUGUGUGUGUAUCCAGUGUGUGUGUGUGUGUGUGUUUGUGUGUGUAUCCAGUGUGUGUGUGUGUGUGUGUAUCCAGUGUGUGGAUCCAGUGUGUGUGUGUGUGUGAGUGUGUGUAUCCAUUGUGUUUGUGUGUGUGUAUCCAGUGUGUGUGUGUGUGUGUGUGUGUGUAUCCAAUGAGUGUGUGUGUGUCCAGUGAGUGUGUGUGUCCAGUGUGUUUCUGUGUGUGAAUCCAGUGUGUGUAUCCAGUGUGUGUGUGUGUAUCCUGUGUGUGUGUGUGUGUGUGUGUGUGUGUGUGUGUGUGUGUGUGUGUGUGUGUGUGUGUGUAUCCAGUGUGUGUGUAUCCAGUGAGUGUGUGUGUGUAUCCAGUGUGUGUAUCCAGUGUGUUUGUGUGUGUCAAGCGUGUGUGUGUCCAGUGAGUGUGUGUGUGUCCAGUGAGUGUGUGUGUGUCCAGUGAGUCUGUGUGUCCAGUGAGUGUGUGUGUCCAGUGAGUGUGUGUGUAUCCUGUGUGUGUGUGUAUCCAGUGUGUGUGUGUGUGUGUAUCCAGGGUGUGUGUGUGUGUGUGUGUGUGUGUUGUGUGUGUGUGUGUGUGUGUGUGUGUAUCCAGUGUGUGUGUGUGUGUGUGUUUCCAGUGUGUGUGUGUGUGUAUCCAGUGUGUGUGUGUGUGUGUGUGUGUGUAUCCAGUGUGUGUGUGUGUAUCCAGUGUGUGUGUGUGUGUGUGUGUGUGUGUAUCCAUUGUGUGUGUGUGUGUGUGUGUGUGUAUCCAUUGUGUGUGUGUAAGUAUCCAGUGUGUUUGUGUGUGUGUAUAUCCAGUGUGUUUGUGUGUGUGUAUCCAGUGUGUGUGUCAAGCGUGUGUGUUUCAAGCGUGUGUGUGUGUGUCCAGUGUGUGUGUGUGCGUCCAGUGAGUGUGUGUGUGUUUGUGUGUCCAGUGUGUUUCCAGUGUGUUUGUGUGUCCAGUGUGUGUGUGUGUGUCCAGUGCGUUUGCCCAGUGUUUGUGUGUGUGUAUUGUCCAGUUAUUAUUUCAGGGACACUGAAGAGCCAACAUAAUAAACCCCAAACCCUGGAUAGAGGGGCUCAGUGAAUGUGGAGGUGAAUGUGAUCAGGUGGGUCAGUGUGUCAGAGGAGGCUCUAUAGAAGGACAGAGUGCCGGCUGGCCUGUCCAGAUACACUCCUACUCUGUGGGGGCUGGAGGAGGGGACAUCUAUGGUAGUGGAGUUAUUAUUAUGAUAGUCAGAGUAACUGUCGUCAGAGCAGAACAGACACCAGGACUUGUCAUUGGCUCCAAGCCAACAGUCAUCACCCCUUCCUCUCCUGCUGAUUCCUUUAUAUGUCACUCCUAUAUCAGCCCCCCCACUCCACUCUACCUCCCAGUAACAGCGCCAGUAUUGACACGGCUGGAUAAAAAACAUACCCGA